GACGUAGGAUGCAAGCGUUGUUCGGAUUUAUUGGGCGUAAAGCGUACGUAGGCGGCUAUCUAAGUCUGGUGUUAAAGCUAGGGGCUCAACCCCUGUGAUGCACUGGAAACUGGGUAGCUUGAGUGCGGUAGGGGAAGGUGGAAUUCCGAGUGUAGCGGUGAAAUGCGUAGAUAUUCGGAAGAACACCGGUGGCGAAGGCGACCUUCUGGGCCGUUACUGACGCUGAGGUACGAAAGCGUGGGGAGCAAACAGG
This 253-nucleotide ribosomal RNA is filed under the name uncultured bacterium. Its description in RNAcentral is "partial 16S ribosomal RNA". It matches the Rfam family "Bacterial small subunit ribosomal RNA", at positions 524 to 776 of the family's 1533-position model. The record is from RNAcentral.